RNAcentral lists this transfer RNA (88 nucleotides) under Bacteroidota bacterium. Its description in RNAcentral is "tRNA-Ser". It matches the Rfam family "tRNA". Rfam says of the family: Transfer RNA (tRNA) molecules are approximately 80 nucleotides in length. RNAcentral also lists the same sequence under 2 other names. Lineage: Bacteria; Pseudomonadati; Bacteroidota. The record is from RNAcentral.
GGAGAGGUGCCCGAGUGGCUGAAGGGGCGCGCCUGGAAAGCGCGUGUGCCGGUUCCCGGUACCGAGGGUUCGAAUCCCUCUCUCUCCG